UACGGUAGGGUGCUAGCGUUGUCCGGAUUUAUUGGGCGUAAAGGGCUCGUAGGCGGCUGUGUCGCGUCGGGAGUGAAAGCCCGCUGCUUAACGGCGGUUGGCUUCCGGUACGGGCAUCGCUGGAGUGCGGCAGGGGAGACUGGAAUUCCUGGUGUAGCGGUGGAAAUGCGCAGAUAUCAGGAGGAACACCGGUGGCGAAGGCGGGUCUCUGGGCCGUUACUGACGCUGGAGGAGCGAAAGCGUGGGGAGCGAACAGG
RNAcentral lists this ribosomal RNA (257 nucleotides) under uncultured bacterium. RNAcentral's name for it is "partial 16S ribosomal RNA". It matches the Rfam family "Bacterial small subunit ribosomal RNA", at positions 524 to 776 of the family's 1533-position model. The record is from RNAcentral.